This 508-nucleotide ribosomal RNA is filed under the name uncultured bacterium. Its description in RNAcentral is "partial 16S ribosomal RNA". It matches the Rfam family "Bacterial small subunit ribosomal RNA", at positions 28 to 523 of the family's 1533-position model. The record is from RNAcentral.
GAUGAACGCUAGCUACAGGCUUAACACAUGCAAGUCGAGGGGAAACGACAUCGAAAGCUUGCUUUUGAUGGGCGUCGACCGGCGCACGGGUGAGUAACGCGUAUCCAACCUGCCCACCACUUGGGGAUAACCUUGCGAAAGUAAGACUAAUACCCAAUGAUAUCUCUAGAAGACAUCUGAAAGAGAUUAAAGAUUUAUCGGUGAUGGAUGGGGAUGCGUCUGAUUAGCUUGUUGGCGGGGUAACGGCCCACCAAGGCUACGAUCAGUGGGGGUUCUGAGAGGAAGGGCCCCCACAUUGGAACUGAGACACGGUCCAAACUCCUACGGGAGGCAGCAGUGAGGAAUAUUGGUCAAUGGGCGAGAGCCUGAACCAGCCAAGUAGCGUGCAGGAUGACGGCCCUAUGGGUUGUAAACUGCUUUUAUAAGGGAAUAAAGUGAGCCUCGUGAGGCUUUUUGCAUGUACCUUAUGAAUAAGGACCGGCUAAUUCCGUGCCAGCCGCCGCCGUAA